UGUAUUGUAGAAUUUUCAAGAAUAUAUUCAAGAGAGAUUAAAAAUAUUGUUUAAAGAAAUGAGAGCUUAUUCAAGGAUAAGUGCUUGUAAUGAAACUAAGUUUAAAGUGUUUCAAGUGCUAGGAGCGGCGCAUCCAAGGCUCGAGGAGGACAACCGAAGCAAGCUUGAAGAGGUUUGAAUUCAAUCACUUAAGGUUAAGGAGUUGACGGCAAGACGGCAGACAUGGAGCUCCACAUUCUCCCGUUCUAUUAUAUGAUGAAGUAUUAUAUGUUGCUGUUUUUGGUAAAUAUAUCUUGCUACUAACCAACUUAGCCUCUUCCAAUUUUGGUGGGUCGAGACUUUAUAUAUAUUGGUUUAUGAUCAUGCAUUUUGAUGA
Long non-coding RNA from Salvia miltiorrhiza (redroot sage), 376 nucleotides. RefSeq lists it as uncharacterized. The record is from RefSeq and is a predicted model, not a curated record. NCBI's taxonomy places the organism in Eukaryota, Viridiplantae, Streptophyta, Magnoliopsida, Lamiales, Lamiaceae. The transcript has 2 exons.